Molecule: small nucleolar RNA, 185 nt
Organism: Eptesicus fuscus (big brown bat)
Lineage: Eukaryota; Metazoa; Chordata; Mammalia; Chiroptera; Vespertilionidae
Product: small nucleolar RNA SNORA81
Exons: 1
Source: RefSeq, a predicted model, not a curated record
ACCUUCUUAUUUAAGCUCUGUGCUAAAAUAGCAGAACCUAGUAUCGUGUCUAUGUAUAGUAUUUGUAGUAAAGCUAGCAGAGUAAACGUAAGAAGGAAAAUAAUGGUAUCAGGUAGUAGAAAAACUAAGAUUAACUUUUUUUUUUAAGUCCAGGGUAUUUUAUUCUUAGAUUAGAUACAAUAAUA